UACAGAGGUCUCAAGCGUUGUUCGGAUUCAUUGGGCGUAAAGGGUGCGUAGGCGGCGCGGUAAGUCGGGUGUGAAAUCUCGGAGCUUAACUCCGAAACUGCAUUCGAUACUGCCGUGCUUGAGGACUGGAGAGGAGACUGGAAUUCCUGGUGUAGCGGUGAAAUGCGCAGAUAUCAGGAGGAACACCGGUGGCGAAGGCGGGUCUCUGGGCCGUAACUGACGCUGAGGAGCGAAAGCCGUGGGGAGCGAACAGG
Molecule: ribosomal RNA, 254 nt
Filed under: uncultured bacterium
Lineage: Bacteria
Description: partial 16S ribosomal RNA
Rfam family: Bacterial small subunit ribosomal RNA
Source: RNAcentral